This is a long non-coding RNA of Balaenoptera acutorostrata (minke whale), 3347 nucleotides long. RefSeq lists it as uncharacterized. NCBI's taxonomy places the organism in Eukaryota, Metazoa, Chordata, Mammalia, Artiodactyla, Balaenopteridae. The transcript is spliced from 6 exons. The record is from RefSeq and is a predicted model, not a curated record.
GGACGCGGAAGUGGAGGCCUGUGGCCUGAGGGGCGUUGACCGGCCGCCGGGCCGUAGCGCGCUGAGCCUAGGGCCCGGGACCUGAGGUACCUUCGCGGAGCGCGAGGAGCGCGGGGCGGCGGAGGCUUCCGAGGAAAGGCCGCGCGCGACGGCGGACCCGCGCCUCCCGCCCCGAGGCCGGCAUCCCUGGCCGGACCCGAGGGGCCUGGCGCUUGGGUAGGGCCGGCCGCGGGCUGCUCGCGGGCCGCUUGCAGUUACCUCCGGGAUCCUUUUGGGCCACCGAGGCGCCGGGAGGAAAGGGUUCUGGGGACGGUGCCCCCAGCUUCCAGCCCCAUCAGUUACAGCUUUACCAUAUUCGCUGUCAGAUGCGGGGAGCGAUGCACUCGGGCUCCUGGCCCCUGAGCCACGCCGAGGAGUCGUCAGGAGCAUCUCGGGACGAGGAAGCCUCCAGCAUCAGCAUCGGGUGCAAGGACAACAGCCUUACAGAUUCUGCUUAACCUGCUCCUGCGAUUGCCUGAGGUCCAGACUCUGUAACAGAACACACCCAUCUAGGGAUUCUGCUUCUCUGAUGGAACCUUAGCUGAUACGCAGAAGUGGACAGCCCAGUGUUGGAAUGGAGGACGCACCUUGUCUUUCAGUUCAGCCAUCCUUGCCACAAGCGCUUCCAUCCUCAGGAUCACAAGAGAAAUGCAUUGUAAGUAGCCAUGGAAACACCACAUUAGUAGGACUAUCCUGCAAAGAGGAGAACAUUACACAUUUUUGCGUUAUCAACUCUCAGAAGCCUGCUAUGCCCAGUGUUCUAACUUCAUCAUUUAUCUGGAAAAUGUUCUGAAGAUGGACACUUGGGCUUCUACCACCUUUUGGGUAUUGUGAAUAAUACUGCUACGAACAUGGGUGUACAAACCUCUCUCCAAGUCCCUGUUUUCAGUUCUUCUGGGCACAGAUAUAUACCUAAAAGUGGAGUUCCUGGAUCAUAUGCUUCAAGGGGCAGAAGACAUGGCUUAGGAGCUGCCCAGGGUGCGGUGUUUAAUAGGAGACCCCAUCAUUAAAGCUGGACUACCCCUUCCCCCAGAGGCUACCCAUGCAAAAUUGAGUUAGAAUUUAUCUUGACACCCAGUGGACACCAAAGAAAAUUACCUGAUUGAAACUGAAUGCUGAGUAAAGGAAAGAAAGUGUCCCCUUUGAAACCAUGUCUAUACCCAUCUCUUCCUCACACUGUUUUGCAGGCAAAAUUUAGUCUAACUGAAAUCUCUGAAAAAUUCUCAAGCCUAUAAUUUGAUUUAAAGUGAUCUUGGGUUGGUCAUACCUGCUGGCAUCUGGCAAACAGAAACCCAAACCUUCUUUGGAGGAUUUCUCUGAAGGAACCCACCUUCAAACUAAACCUCAAAAAAUUCCUUUGGAAAAACUUCCAGAAGAUCCUAAUUUAUAUAAGAAAUACCAAACUAAUAAUGAAGCAAGUGACCAUGACUGAGAGGCAGCAGAAACUAAGGACAUCAGUAUGAAACAUGAAAAGAUUUCAGAUACUGGAAUUGUCAAAGACAGACUGUAAAAGAGUCAUAUCUAAAGAAAUAAAUAAGAGGUUAAACUUAUGAGCAAGGGAAAAGAAACUGUGAAAAUGAUCAAGCAGAUCUGAAAAAGUCAAAUAAAACUUCCUAUAGAAAUAAAAAAUAUCAUAAAUGAAAUUUUAAAACUCACUGUCUGAAGUUAACAGCAAAUAAGACCCAGCAGAAGAGAGAAUUAGUGAGCAAGAAAAUAGAUAUAAAUAAAUGCUGGACUACAUUACAGAGGCUUAAAAGAGAUAGACAAUCUUUAAUCAGAGACCCAGAAGGAGAAGAGAGAAUGAAGAGGGAGACGGGAGAGUCGAUGUUUGAAGGGAUGGAUGGUGGAUAAGAAAAUGACCAGAAUUGAUGAAAGAUACCAGUGCUGAGGUUCAGGAAGUCAGAGUUCCUAAAAGGAUGUGUAAGAAGGAAUACCUACCAGGACACAUCAUGAAAAUGUAGAACAGUUAAAGUCAAAGUCAAGAUCUUAAAUGAAGCCGUAGAGAAAAGACAGAUCACCUAGAAAGAAGCUGCUGUUCAGACGGAUGCCUAACUUCUCACCAGCAGCAGGAGAAGCCAGAAGUCAGUGAAAUCAUAUCUUCGACAUGUUAAGGAAAAAUAUUAGUUAAUUUAGAUGAUUAACUGGGUCUUGAAGGAGGAGUAGGUAGCUUAGGUCUCAUGUUUUCUCAAGGGCUCAGUCUCCCCUGGGCUUCUGCUCCUUCAAAGCAAUCAUAUUUCAGUGAGUGCCCCUGGCCCCGAUGGUUCUUAUCAAAGGUUCGAUGAGGGGUGUGCCCCUCUGCUGGUUUCCCUGGUAACCAAUGAGCCAACCCCUGUAACUGGUAACCUCCUGCUCCCCCAGGAACAAAGACUGCUGCCACGUCCUGCCCACAGUCUGCCACACACAGUGGGAUGUACUUCCAGGACCUUGCCUCGGGCAUGUAAGCUCCUCCAUCCAUUAAACCAUCGAUGUCUCUGUCGCUGACUCUGGGCUCCUCCUUCCGUCUUGAGGCUGGGCAGGCCUGCGGGGUGUAGCCCAACAUGAGGGAAGAGCCUUAUUGAUCCUGGUCUGAUUCAUUAGGAGUCAUUUGGAUCCACAAGGGUGGGGAAGCACGUGCUUCUUACUGCAUUUUUAUCUUUGUAAACAUACCAUAGAACACCAGUUCACAGACUGAUAGGUAAAUGCUGUGGACUGAAUGUUUUGUGUGUCCCCUCCCCAAAUUCAUGUGUUGAAAUCCCAAUGCCCCAUGUGAUGGCAUUAGUAUGUGGGGCCUUUGGGAGAUGCUUAGGUCAUGAGGGUGGAGCCCUCAUGAGUGGAAUUAGGGCCCUUAUAAGGAGACCCCAUAGAGUACCCUUGCCCAUUACACCAUGUGAAGACACAGGGAGAAGAUGUGGGCUGUGAACCAGCACGAGGGCCGUCACCAGCAUGAGACCACGCGGGCAGCUUGAUCUUGGACUUCCCACCCUCCAGAACUGUGAGAAAUAAACUUCUGUUGUUCAUAAGCUAUGCAAUCUGUGGCAUUUUGUUACAGCAGCCUGAAUGGACUAAGACAGUAAAUAAGAAAGAACUUAAUUUUUGUUUGAUUUGAUGCAAUAAAUUUGGAAGCUGAUUUUUUGUUGUUUUAAAUGUAAAGUAAAACCUGGUAUGUGACUGAAUUCAGGUUAAGUAGAAAAUCAAAAUCAUUUCUUUCAAAAUCUCAACUCUCAUUUCCAUCUGAAACUUUUUAUCAAGUCAAUCUAGGCACAUGUUUAUGGAAAAGUUUAAUAGUUAUACUGACAACUGCCACGUCCCAACUCUAAGCCACACUACUU